RNAcentral lists this long non-coding RNA (6593 nucleotides) under Phoenix dactylifera (date palm). RNAcentral describes it as "long non-coding RNA (PDAC_LNC004972)". Lineage: Eukaryota; Viridiplantae; Streptophyta; Magnoliopsida; Arecales; Arecaceae. The record is from RNAcentral.
CGCUUGCAUCCUUCCUCUCCCAGCGAUUAUCUGGUGAUCAUCGAAGAUCCGCCCCUCCAUUGGAUGCCGGUCGUCCCUCCAUUCUUGCAUACCACUGAAGUAGCCAUCGAUGUUCAUCAACAUUCCGAACAGCCACCUUCCAUCCACUUGACACCCGUGUUGUAGAACAAGGGUAGCAAGCCCUUCCAUGGCCAUUCAAAAGAAACGAGAGAGAGGUGCCAUGGAUGAGAGCUUCGAGGUGCGAUUGAAGCGGCUCUUCAGCACUAGGACUCUUUCUAUCUCUUCACCUCUUUAACUUCCAGUGAUAUUAGUAUCUUCAUUUUUAUCAUUAAAAGGAAAUGGCAUCGGAGAAUAUGAAAUCAUGUUUUCUAUCUCAUUUCUAGGAUGAGACUAGUCAUGACUAAUGUAUGACCAUGUAACCCCUAUCUUUUCAUGAGCAUCAUUAAGGAUAUGCUUAUCUGCAUCAUCCUCCGUUGAUCUACAAUUUUCCCUUUCCUCAUCCUGUUCGGAUGUACCAUAGAAUUCUUUGGUGGAGAGAAAGGGUGACAAGUUAGACGGCAGAGGGUAGAUGUGGGUGCAAGCUUGCCACGGACGUCGGAUUAGCUGUUAUCGAAGAAAGGAUAGAGAGUUGCUAGGUCCAGAUGACUUGACCUUUAAGGAUUUUCACUACCAUCGCACCUCCAUUCGAAAGAGAUGGAUUUGGCAGAUAGGGAUGUAGCAUUGGCCUAUAGUAGUAGGAAUUCUAAAUUAUAACUACUUCUAAGAUAGAUUCUACUGGUAGAUUAAGAACUAAGAUAUGAUGAAAUGCAUUGGUUUGGAUUGGAUCAUUUAUAAAGUACAAAUUUAUUUUUAUACUAAAAAAAAAUAACUGCCCAUUUUAAUAGUUGCCAUCCACGUCUGGUUCUACUCUUAACAAUUCUGAUAGUUGACGCCAGUUAUCCUCCACUACGCACAUUCAUUAGCAUGGUCGCCUUGCGUCAACUAUUAGAUACAUAGUCUUAUCUUAUCGAUCAUAGCUUAUAUUACCAUGGCCUAUAAUAUAGUAUUUCUGUACUCAGAAUUAUCUUUAAGACUGCUUCAGUUGUUUCAAUCUAUUCCUUAUGUCUGCGAUAUGAGCUUUCUGCCUACUUAUUGACUGAACCCUCUUCUUUUAGUCCGCGCCUUCUCGCAGUGAAAUUUAUCAUGGUUGAACUCUACUGAAUCCAAGAAGGCUCACGUGAUCUUCAUCCAUUUUGACUUAAUCUAAUAUUUGCCCAUAUAGCACUUGCUUACAUCAACCAACUAGGUUGUUGAGAUGGGGUGUAAACAAUGUCCCCCUCCCUCCCAUCUUAUUAGUCAAUGAUCAAGAGGUUGACGGGAUGCCUGUCCAUGUACUGCCUUUUUAUUAACUAAGUGUUGCCCUUUUAUUAAAACAUCACUUCUGCUCUCGGUGAUCUGCCCGCAUCUUUUAUGAUUCAGCUGAACUCUCUACUUUUGCUACAUUUCUUUCUUCUCGGAAUACUCUUGCAUCUUGGAAUGGCUUGCCCAUUGCUAGAAGGAUCUCUCACAUCCAUAGAGAUUCGGUAUCAUCUUUCAUAUUAACAGGGAUUUAGCUUAAUCUUCUAGUGAGGUACGCCUCUUCUCUAUAAAUAGGUCAUGUGUCCUCCUCUUCAGUGCUCAUUCCUCUUCUUCCUCAUGGCUACUCAUGCCUCCCAUGGAUGCAUAUGCAUCAGUCCAAGAUAAGCUAUGUACUUGGAAGGACCAACUCACAUCCCUCGAGGCAUAGUUGACCGACAUUCAUUGAGAGAUACAAAUCCCAAAAGAAUAAUAGAUAGAGUUGGAACACAACAACAAGGAGAAAUUUUGAUGUUGGAUGUAACUUGAAAACAACUAGAAGCCUACAAAUCUUGGUUUCUAGAUCUCUUUGACAAGAUGGUUGCCUUCAAGCCAAAAUCCUAUACUUUCCAAGAGAAGUGGGAGCAAGGUCCGCCGUACCGGUACCGGUGGCGUACCGGUCCCGUACGAAACCGGUCCCGUACCGGUCCAGUACCGGUGGCGUACCGGUCCCGUACCGGUUCUUCAACAAUAAAUUACCGGUACCGGAUUUUACGCUGAUCCGGUACCGGUCCCAGGCCGGACCGGUACGUACCGGCCCGUACCGGCCGGUACGGACCGGUACGGCAGACCAUGAGUGGGAGAGACAUAAAAGAAUUGUGAGAGACCUAUAGAUAAAAAUAGGAUACUAUUAUUUGUAUCGACCUCUUGGUCGGAAUUAGUAGAAUGUCUUCUUAUAAGAUAAUAUAUAUAAUGCUACUUUCCGCUUUCAAACUGAAUUUAUUACUUCUUCAAUCUUCUAGAAACUUUAUGUGUAGCACUAAGAUCCAUGCUGCCCAUAAUCCACAUGAGGAUCUUUAAUCAUUCGAACAAUUAGGUUCCAUAUCUUGUUGAAAAUCCAUGCAAAACUAAGAUAAUAAUAUCUCCUGGCAUAAAACUUCAGCGCGCAAAAUAUCUGAGCGAAGCGUAGCUUCUCCUUUAUGUUGAUAUAUUGGUAGUUAUGUAUUAUUAGUUUUGAAAUACAGAUAUCAAGAGAGCGCCUUUGCAAUUUAUGUUUGACUAUAUGUAUCAAAUAUUGCACAAAUUGUUUAACCAUAUAUUCAUAUAUCCCCUGACGUUUUGUGUUAUAUAAUAUCUAUUAUUGUAAACGACUUAUGUUGUUGUCUUAGCACUUAAAUACUGCCUCAUUACUUGGACAAGGUGAAAAAUUUCAACUUUCUGUUUAUCAUAAUGUUUCUAUAUCCAGUCCUCUGGACUCCAGAAAAUUAGAUCUUAACCUUCAGCUUGAUUAAUGAGAUACCAAUUUGCUCGGUCAAUUUGUCACAUUUGAUUGCACCAUUGAGCUCAAAAUUAGCUUUAUCUUAAUCAUCCAUGGCACCAAAGUUUUUCGUACUGGUUGGUAACGUACCAUAUCGGUGCUGAAUUGGUACGCAGUAUCAUACCAGCUGACACUUGGUAUGCCUCACUGUCUCAUACCGUACUGUGUAUCGACACUAUAAUAGGAUGGUACCAGUACGGGGUCUGGUACCGAGACGACGAACCUUGUAUGGCACUGUACCAUUCAAUCCGCACAACCAAGCAUUUAUUCUUAUGGUGCCUUUUUUUUUAGUGAAGUAGAUUUUGAGGAACCCACCCAGAUUUUAUUAAGAAGAUGAAAUCAGAAUACAGAAGUAGUAGAAAAAUAAUAGAUAAAAAACAGAAAUUUAGAAAAGAAUAAAGAUGGAAAUAUAGAAAAAAAAAACAGGAAUUUGAUGAAGAACAGAGAGCAAGUUUUUGUUCUUGCUUAUUAUUGAGGCAGCUAGUUCAAUCAAGGAAAAGCCUAAUCAUUGUCCUAGUUACUCCAUCGAUGCUUGCAGAUUCAUGGUUAAAAUUUCUUUUGUUAUGUUCCUUCCACUGGAACCAAAUAGUGGUCUGUGCUCAAGAGUCUCAACCAUGAUGAACUCAUUGCAGAAUGUUUUUCCAAGUAGUUUAUAUGGGUUGAACUUCUCUAGGCAUCAUGCCUUGUGUUCCGUUAAGAUUCAAUACAUUCUGCCAAAUUUGCUCUGAGAAAGGGAAGAAAAUGAGGAGAUGAUCGAUUGCCUCAUGUUUGGCAUUCUUAACGGAACUUUGCGAGGGAGUGGUGAGCUCAAAAUAGGUUUCGCCUAUGAAUUUUUGACCAGCUGUGUUGAGGAAACAAUAUUAGGAUUUGACAUUAAAGAGUAGGUCAGAGGUCCAUCUCCACUUCAGUGUCUGGUUGACCCUUCAAGGUAAAACUGGAUCUAGAGAACGUGAUGGUCAUUCAUCAAAGGAGGCUUGAUGUUCUGUUGGAAAAUGAGUCCAUAUAGCUUGCCUAACUGUGAUAUUUUGAUCAGUGGAGAUUGAGAAAAGGGUUGGGAAGGAACCUAAAAGUGUGAAGCUGCCCAAUAGAUUGUCCUUCCAGAAAAGGUUCUAGAUCUGCAGAGAAAUUUUCAUUGGAGGACAAACUUCCAAAAAUGGAGAUGCAGAGGCUUGUAAGUUGCUGGAGAAGAAUGACCUUCUUCUGUAAUACUUUUGGAGAACAAUAAAUUGCCAUAGGGUAGGUUUGGCAUCUACAAGUCUCCAUUUCCAUUUGUGAAGCGAAGCCAAAUUCAUCUAGUGGAGGUCCUUUAUACCUAGACCCCCUUCCUUUUUUUUGAGUUCUCUCCCUUUCAAAGAAAAACUGUGUAUUCGAUCUAUAUGCUUAAUAAGCCAACUGGGGAGUGCAUACAAUUAAAAAAGAAAAAAAAAUGCGACUAGGAAGGUGGAAGACUGUAUGAAAUAGUUGAGGUGACAGCAUUGACCAAUGUUAGUCACCCUCUCGGAGUGAGUAUUUCCCUUUUUUUUUUGUGUUCUUGAGCGCUAACAGCCUGAGGAUUUGCACUUAAAUUGCUAACUUUUGUAUUACGGCGAAUUGUAUUAUGAACUGUUUAUUAUGAGCAGAAUGUGCAAUUAUUGGUUGUUUGUUUAGUACUUGCAAAUUGAUGACAGAGGGCCUUAUCUGACCUUUUCUGAUGUUCUUUUAGUGUACUCGGAUGAGGUGAGGUGCCAGUUAUAUUUCUUUUGUCUCACCUCCUUGCCUUUUUGGUGCUAAACUCGGAGGUUUUAUCAGAAAUUGCACUUUGCUGCUAAAGACUUAUGAAUCGAGAAAAGAUAUUGUAGAAGCUGCAGCUCGAUCGAUGUGGUGACAGUGGCUAAUUCAGGUGUUGUUUAUACAAUAUGGGCUCAAAGAGAUGGUGGUGUAUUUGAAAACUGGGUUAUAAUCUAUGUAGAUGCGGUACCCAGUUGUGCAGAAUGUCUGUAACAUCAUGGCUUUUUUGUUCAAAAGGAUGAGGGCUGUAUCAAUUAGCUGAUCAUGAACUAGAGUUGUGGUUAUCACCAGAAAAAAAUAAAAAAAGAAAAAAAACUGGAGUUGCCGUCGAGGUCAAACCUUCACACUGGUUGGUAUUAUGGGUGGCAGAAACUGGACCAUCGCUGUCUGAAACAAUUUUAGAAUGAGUGUAAGUGAACUAUAUGCUUUUUUUCAGAGAGAUUGUGAGAGACCAUGAAUGUGAUCUCAUUCCAGCUAACUACUUUCACAGGCAGGGAUGUCUACUAACGAGUUAGUUCAUGUCAGUGAAGCCGCAGAUACCUGGCUUCAUUUAUAUAGCUUAUGAGGAAACAUUUGAUAAAGAUAUUUUCUUUUCAGUUAGAUUGCAUCUAGCUCAUUUAUGAGUUGGAUGCUUCUUGUGAUGUAAUACUGCUUCAAGUUGUUAUUCCGCUUAUAUGAUUCCAAUCAUAGUGGAGAUGUUUGAAGGUAAUAGAAUGGCACAUACUGAAUUGGCUAAGCAAUCAAACUGCUAGCUAUUUUUGGGGAUCAGUAAUUCUUGACGAGCAUGCAAUGGAGCAGGCCUAUAAACCAGCUCAUAUGGCACUAUAAGAAAGGUUUAUAUCUGAUAUCUACACUUGCUUUAAGUCACUAUGAUCUUUUUAACAAUGUGAGUGAAAUACCUUCGGGAUAAGGACACUGAAUUGAGAAUCAAAAAUAGUUUUAGCAUGCAAGAGACUUAUGCAUCUAAUUUUAAAUCAUGUCAUAUUAGUACAAAAAAUAAGGAACAGUGAGUAGAAAUGUCAGUAUCCUUCUGAAAAAAGGGCACAUUCUUUAAAAUUCCUUGUGGAAUAGCAUAAUUACCUUUAUAUUUGACAUGUCAUAUUUAGUCAUUGUUUACUAAAUGGAGGGAUACUUUUUGAAUAGAGUCUAAAUCUCCCUUCUGCACUGCAUGUCUGUGUAUCAAUAUGUGAUUUGUGGAAAUGAUUUGUGUUACAGUCAUAAUCUAACAAUCAGAAUAACAUUAAUUUGAAGAUAGUAGAUUUAUUCUAUGCCAUGUUUUAUACUAAUACUACCCAUGCUACUCUGUAACCAUUCACUAUAGCCAGUAGAACUGUCAUAUAGCAUUAUUAGGAUAAGGCCAUUAUCUAACAACCUCUAGCCACAUGGAGCAUUACUAAUAUCCUGCAUGACAAAUGCUGUAUCUGAUGUUUCAUACCGCUAACAUUCUUGAAUAUGACAAAAGACACUCACAGUGAACACCCAAUCCACACUGUUUCAACUGGUGCACAAGCAUAGAUGUUGUCACUCGCCCAUGUAGUUCUUGUGGUGUUGCAUUUGCUGUUACCAUUCGAAAGAGCAAAAAAUGGAGGCACUUCUGCUACGAUGUUAGCAACCCUCACACUCUAAUUAGCAUAAUUUCAUCUUUGUCUCCUGGUCUUAGAUCGUAGAUAGACAAUCCAUACUCAUCAAAACCUGGGAACUCCUCAGUUUCUUGAACAUCGCAAUCUUUAAUAUUUUCAAGUUGAGUAUCAGUGUUUAUGCCAUCUCUUGCAGAUGAUGAUUCUGUGGUUUUAGUCAUGUAGGGGUCACUGCCUUCCAUCACAGAGGGAGCAGACGGUCCAUAUUCGUCAAAGCCUGGGAGUUUUUUAAAUUCUAGGAGGCUGCAGUCAUUGUUUUCUUCCAUUUGAGUAUCAAUGUGGAAGCCACCUCUUGCAGAAGACGGCUCUGUGAUUUCAGUCAUGGUGGGAGCAGAAAG